GCGUUAAGCCUCCCUACUUCAGAGUACCGUCGCGAGACUACAUCAUACAGGAAUAGAUGCGAACCCGCACAAACGAUGGAGCGUGUUGUUUAAUUCGAUGGUAAACGAAGAACCUUACCCAGGCUUGACAUCCUUGGAAUCACUUCGAAAGAAGAGAGUGCUUUAUUGAGCCAAGUGACAGGUGUUGCAUGGCCGUCGUCAGCUCGUGUCGUGAGAUGUUUGGUUAAGUCCAUCAACGAGCGCAACCCUUGUGAUUAGUUGAAUUUUUCUAAUCAGACUGCCCUGGCAACAGGGAGGAAGGAGGGGAUGAUGUCAGGUCAGUAUUACCCUUACGUCUGGGGCUACAAACACGCUACAAUGGCCGGUACAAAGGGCAGCCAAAGCGCAAGCUGGAGCAAAUCCCAUCAAAGCCGGUCUCAGUUCGGAUAGCAGGCUGAAACUCGCCUGCUUGAAGUCGGAAUCGCUAGUAACGGUAGGUCAGCUAUACUACCGUGAAUACGUUCCCGGGUCUUGUACACACCGCCCGUCAAACCAUGAAAGUCGCCAAUACCUGACGUGUGAGCUUCGCUUUAUCUAACGGCAUGAGUAAGUUCUGACCAG
RNAcentral lists this ribosomal RNA (600 nucleotides) under uncultured bacterium. Its description in RNAcentral is "bacterial SSU rRNA". It matches the Rfam family "Bacterial small subunit ribosomal RNA", at positions 857 to 1474 of the family's 1533-position model. The record is from RNAcentral.